RNAcentral lists this ribosomal RNA (497 nucleotides) under uncultured bacterium. Its description in RNAcentral is "partial 16S ribosomal RNA". It matches the Rfam family "Bacterial small subunit ribosomal RNA", at positions 28 to 507 of the family's 1533-position model. The record is from RNAcentral.
GAUGAACGCUGGCGGCGUGCCUAAUACAUGCAAGUCGAGCGAACGGACGAGAAUCUUGCUUCUCUGAUGUUUGCGGCGGACGUGUGAGUAACACGUGUAUAACCUACCUAUCAGACUUGGCUAACUUCGGGAAACCGUAGCUAAUACCGUAUAAUAUUUUGAACCGCAUUGUUCAUAAGUGAAAGACGUUCUUUCUUUCCCUUAUAGAUUUAUCCGCGCUGCAUUAGCUAGUUGGUAAGGUAACUUCUUACAAAGGCAACGAUGCAUAGACGACAUGAGAGGGUGAUCGGCCACACGGGAACUGAGACACGGACAAGACUACUACGGGAGGCAGCAGUAGGGAAUCUUCCGCAAUGGGCGAAAGCCUGACGGAGCAACGCCGAGUGAGUGAUGAAGGUCUUCGGAUCGUAAAACUCUGUUAGUAGGGAAGAACAUAUGUGUAAGUAACUGUGCACAUCUUGACGGUACCUAAUCAGAAAGCCACGGCUAACUACGUG